GCCCUGGCUGUCCUGGAGCUCACUCUGUAGACCAGGCUGGCUUUGAACUCAGAAAUCCUCCUGCCUCUGCCUCCCAAGUGCUGGGAUUAAAGGCGUGUGCCACCACUGCCCAGGUAGCAGUCAGUAUUCUUAACCGCUGAGCCAUUUCUCCAGCCCAUAAAGUAGUUUUUAAGACAGUAACUUCAUUGCCCCAUUGCAUGCCAGGAUUUGAUACAUGCAGCAGGGUGGGGUGGAGUGUGCUUCACAUGAACACCAGAGGGCUAAAAUAUUAGCUCAGCAAACAGAAAGCUGGAGGGAAGGAGCUAUUUUGGUGUAUGUAUGGAGUUACAGAAGAUUAAGAGCCUCCAUGGGGGUGCUGGGAAUCAAGCCCAGGUCUUCUGCAAGAGCAGCUGUUAAGUUCUGAGUCAUUUCACCAGCUCAGGUCUUUAUUGACUUUGUUUUUUGACAAUUCAUGAUUAUUCUCUCCCAUCUCUGUCAACCCAGCUCUUCCUUAUCCAUUCCUUCAUCGGAUUCAUAACUUUGUGACCGUUUAGUUUGACAGGGGCUAUAUUUUGACUAUUGGGUUGGAUCUAUGCACUGGAGCCUGGUGAGGCCGCCUGUGGGAACACAAAGGCAGCAGCCCCCAUUCUUGAAUAUGUCAGUGGCAAAUAGGCCAAAAGUGAGGGUAGGAACCCGAGAGUCCCUACAUCACCCAUGCCUCACUGUGGAUCUGCUCAUUGUUGGACAGACCUCAUGCAGGCAUCCAUAGCUGCUGUCAGUUGUGAUUACAACAGCUGUGUCUGGACACACAUACACACAAAUCCUAAGCCUUAGAGGGCAGUAUACCAGACUCCCUAUUACAGUGCUUCAGUAAACUCUAUUUUCUCCUACACCAGAAGGGCCUUUCUUCCCCUUGAGGUCUAGAAAGGGUUAAAGUAAGGUGGAUGCUCAGGCCCACGUGCUGUGUCAGCUGAGAGACACUCCCAUGCCACCUGCCUUGCUAUUACAAUAUUAGACCACUAAAGUUCCAUUCUAGUGAUCUUUUCUUACCUUCAUCUAGUUGUGCAGCUGACCUGGUAACAGGAUGAAAGAAGCAGCAAGCAGCAGUGACACCCCAGGAAUUAGCCCGCCGCCACCAGCUGCUUGACAGCUGAAGCAGUAGCACCUGCAAUGUUAGGAGUGGCCAGCGGGGUGGAGUGGGGGUAGUGAGAGAGAAAGGUUGAGAAUGAAGAAGGAAAGGUUGUCAAUAGCCACAGGAAGUGCCAGCUCUGGUCACCAGAAGAGUUCCACAGCAUUAUCAAGCCUUCAGGGCCAACAGGUGAAACACUGGGUGCUGUGAAAGGCUGAGGGGACACCACGCCCUCAGCCCACGUAGAGCUGUAGAACUCAAGUGGUCUAAAGGUUCCUAAAAUCUGAGGCCUACAAGGAGCCUGAGCCUGGAAGGUGCCACCCACUGUGCCUCCCACCCCCUGCUGCCCAGGCUUCUCCUCAGCUACUUAAAAUUCCCAUACAGUGCAGUGCAGAAGGACCCUCUAGCCAGCUAGUCAAAGGUGGUAUAGGUGAUCCUCCAGCAACAAUCCUGUAUGUCAAAGCUGGGCUUCUUCAUACUCUACUAACCAAAACUAGCGUCAAAUGCAAGGAGACAAACCCAGAAGAUAAAGGAGCUUUCAUAUCAACCAGAUUGUCUACCAUUGAGAUCCUAACAGAUACAAGAUGAUCCGCAAGAUGAUCCGCUGGUCUCUGCUUAUGUCUUGCAGAUGUUCACUGGAAUCUUACUGAACGCCUUAGACCAGAGGUUCUCAACAUGUGGGUCAUGAUCCACUCCAGGGUCACCUAAGCCACUGGAAAACAUGAGUCACAAGAAUACCAAAAUUACAGUUAUGAAGUAGCAACAAAAGUAAUUUUAUGGUUUGGGGGUCACCACAACACGAGGAGCUGCAUUAAAGGGCAGCAGCAUUGGGAAGGCUGAGAACCAUUGCCUUAGACUAAGACUGACACUUGCCUGGCUGAAUCUUUACAAGGGCCAGAAAGGUUUUGUUGGGUAGCAAUCUCCUCUGAGAUAAAACCUUCCAACUUUGAGGGAAGCUCCUUAAGACACCGGGGGAGCAUUCUGUCCUUCAGGGAAGCGACUUUAACUCAGAAAACAGUAACAACAGUAACUGCAGGAAGUCCCUGAAAUCCACCAGAUUCACCAGGCUCCUCUCCCCCCUGAGGACCUCUAAGAAAUAAGUUCUAUAGAGAAAAGUUCUCAGGCCAGUGGAGCUGCUUGGAAGACAUGUCUCCACCGCUGCCUGCAAGGUGGCGCUCCAGUGGCUUCUCGUCACGUUCCUGGAGUCGGGCCAAUUGACAGAGCAUCAUGGAUUGGUCCAGACUGAGCUGCUAUUGCUGAUUCGAGAUUGGUGUUUGAGAGUGGAUAGAGUGACCACUGCUGAUUUGUGUGACAUGAACUGCUGAUAUCCUCCUUUGUUUAAAAAAAUUAUUUUCUGUAGAUGAGUACACUGUAGCUGUACAGAUGCUUAUGAGCCUUCAUGUGGUGGUUGGGAAUUGAAUGUUAGUUGACCUCGCUCCGGUCAACUCUGCUCACUCAGGCCCAAAGAUGUAUUUAUUAUUAUAUAUAAGUACACUGUAGCUGUCUUCAGACGCACAAAAAGAGGGCAUCAGAUCUCAUUACAGAUUGUUGCUGGGAUUUGAACUCAGGACGUUUGAAAGAGCAUUCAGUGCUCUUACCCACUGAGCCAUCUCGCCAGCCCUGCUGAUAUAUUCCUGACAACACAGAUUGGAUUCAUCCCCAAAGAACGACUUCUAAGUAGGUCCACAUCCCCUUGUCCUAUUUCCUCCCCUACCUUUAGAUGGUGGGCUCAAAGAAGAAUCAAAGCAUUUGAGAACCCUUAUUAAAAGUGUGUGUGUGUGUGUGUGUGUGUGUGUGUGUGUGUGUGUGUGUGUGUGUGUGUUUUAAAUCUAAGUCUACAGAGGUGUGAGCAAACUCCCUAUCUGAGGGCAGCACCAACCCAUGGGCGGGGAUCUUGAGUUGAAUAAGAAAGAGAGAUGGAGUGGAGCGCACCAGUUUGCUCCUCACGCCUUCCUGGCAGCAGAUGCGCUGUUGCCAGCUGCCCCUCUCUCCUCCCACCAGGAGGGACUACAUCCCUGCAAACCACGGGCUAAAAUCGCAUCACUUUUGUAUCCCGUCACAGCGACAAGUAACGAGAUGUUCCAGUCCCAGAAGCUCUUUACAACAAGCACCGUGGUCAUGAAAACUGAACUAUUUGCUUUUGUCCCAGGGACCCCCCAAUGCUGCUUGCUCACAAGGAUACUGCUCCCUGUUACUGUCUGUGAUAAACACCGUGACCAAAAGCAGCAGCUUGGUGGUGAUUUGAAUGGCAAUGGCCUCCAAAGGCUCAUAUGUUGGAAUACUUGAUGGAACUGUUUGGGAAGGAUUAGGAGCUGUGGCCUUGUUGGAAAAGUUUUCUUCAGAAGAAUCGUCCAAGUCCUGGGAGGUCUGAAAUUGAUCCUGGUGCCAGGAAUCUGGUUCCCAAACAGUACACUAUUGCUGUCACACCAGAAGAAAUCAUCGGAUCCUGUUACACAUGGUUGUGAACCACCAUAUGGUCUUGUGAGUGCCUGACUCGCC
Molecule: long non-coding RNA, 3607 nt
Organism: Mus musculus (house mouse)
Lineage: Eukaryota; Metazoa; Chordata; Mammalia; Rodentia; Muridae
Product: predicted gene, 40964
Exons: 4
Source: RefSeq, a predicted model, not a curated record